RNAcentral lists this long non-coding RNA (329 nucleotides) under Homo sapiens (human). RNAcentral describes it as "HSALNT0346430". The record is from RNAcentral. Lineage: Eukaryota; Metazoa; Chordata; Mammalia; Primates; Hominidae.
ACAAAAAGAGUGUUUCCAAACUGCUCAAUCAAAAGAAAGGUUCAACUCUGUGAGAUGAACGCACACAUCACAAAGAAGUUUGUCAGAAUUCUUCUGUCUAGUUUUUAUGUGAAGAUAUUUCCUUUUCCACCAUGGGCCUCAAAGUGCUCCAAAUGUCCACUUGAAAAUUCUACAAAAAGAGAGUUUCAAAACUCCUCAAUCAAAAGAAAGUUUUAACUCUGUGAGAUGAAUGAACACAUCACAAAGAAGUUUCUCAGAUUGCUUCGGUGUAGAUUUUAUGUGAAGAUAUUUCCUUUUCCACCAUAGGCCGCAAAGCCUUCCAAAUGUCC